GAUGAACGCUGGCGGCGUGCCUAAUACAUGCAAGUCGAGCGAACAGACGAGAGUUCUUGCUCUCUCUGACGUUAGCGGCGGGCGGGAGAGUAACACGUGUGUAACCUACCUAUAAGACUGGGAUAACUUCGGGAAACCGGAGCUAAUACCGGAUGAUAUUUAGCUUCGCAUGAAGCAAUAGUGAAAGACGGUUCUGCUGUCACUUAUAGAUGGACCCGCGGUGUAUUAGCUAGUUGGUGAGGUAACGGCUCACCAAGGCAACGAUCCAUAGCCGACCUGAGAGGGUGAUCGGCCACACUGGAACUGAGACACGGCCCAGACUCCUACGGGAGGCAGCAGUAGGGAAUCUUCCGCAAUGGACGAAAGUCUGACGGAGCAAUGCCGCGUGAGUGAAGAAGGUUUUCGGAUCGUAAAACUCUGUUGUAAGGGAAGAACAAGUAUGUUAGUAACUGAACGUAUCUUGACGGUACCUUACCAGAAAGCCACGGCUAACUACGUG
RNAcentral lists this ribosomal RNA (499 nucleotides) under uncultured bacterium. RNAcentral's name for it is "partial 16S ribosomal RNA". It matches the Rfam family "Bacterial small subunit ribosomal RNA", at positions 28 to 507 of the family's 1533-position model. The record is from RNAcentral.